AUGGCCAGCAGCAAGGAUCCGAAGCUGUGGCUGAGCAGGCAGCCGGCGGGAAAGGUGGCCGGCGAGGGAGCUGCGGACCGCGGCGGGGAAGGGCGGCCGAUGAGGGAGCUGUGGACCACAGCAGGGAAGGGCGGCCGACCGGCGAGGAAGCUGCGGACCACGGCAGGGAAGGACGUCGGAGAUGCGGACGACGGAGGUGCCCGGCAAAAGGGAGCAGCGACGGCGGAGAAGCCUGGCGGAGGGGAGGAGCGACGGAGGAAGACGCCUCCCGAUCGAUUUCAGAUCGGGGGUAGUAUUGUACUUUCACACUGUUUCACCUGA
This 321-nucleotide ribosomal RNA is filed under the name Triticum aestivum (bread wheat). RNAcentral describes it as "partial small subunit ribosomal RNA". The record is from RNAcentral. Lineage: Eukaryota; Viridiplantae; Streptophyta; Magnoliopsida; Poales; Poaceae.